RNAcentral lists this ribosomal RNA (497 nucleotides) under uncultured bacterium. RNAcentral's name for it is "partial 16S ribosomal RNA". It matches the Rfam family "Bacterial small subunit ribosomal RNA", at positions 28 to 507 of the family's 1533-position model. The record is from RNAcentral.
GAUGAACGCUGGCGGCGUGCCUAAUACAUGCAAGUCGAGCGAACAGACGCGGAGCUUGCUCCUCUGACGUUAGCGGCGGACGGGUGAGUAACACGUGGAUAACCUACCUAUAAGACUGGGAUAACUUCGGGAAACCGGAGCUAAUACCGGAUAAUAUAUUGAACCGCAUGGUUCAAUAGUGAAAGACGGUUUUGCUGUCACUUAUAGAUGGAUCCGCGCCGCAUUAGCUAGUUGGUAAGGUAACGGCUUACCAAGGCAACGAUGCGUAGCCGACCUGAGAGGGUGAUCGGCCACACUGGAACUGGGACACGGUCCAGACUACUAAGGGAGGGAGCAGUAGGGAAUCUUCCGCAAUGGGGGAAAGCCUGACGGAGCAACGCCGCGUGAGUGAUGAAGGUCUUCGGAUCGUAAAACCCUGUUAUUAGGGGAGAACAAAUGUGGAAGGAACCAUGCCCGGCUUGACGGUACCUAAUCAGAAAGCCACGGCUAACUACGUG